This is a long non-coding RNA of Felis catus (domestic cat), 1125 nucleotides long. RefSeq lists it as uncharacterized. The record is from RefSeq and is a predicted model, not a curated record. Lineage: Eukaryota; Metazoa; Chordata; Mammalia; Carnivora; Felidae. The transcript is spliced from 2 exons.
GCCAGGGGGUGACUUGCCAGAGGAAGUUCCCCCAUAAUCGCCAGUGCCCUCCCUAAGCCAACCCUCAUUAACGGACAACCUAAAUAAAAACUGCGUUUGCGAUGCAAAAGCCGCUUCAAGCCGGUCCCUGAGCCCUUGCGCGUUCCAACUGAAGGCCGCCCCUUGUCCCCUCUCAAGGAGGGAUUUCCGAGAGGCCUGCUGGGCCUCUUCCCCGCUCCCCCCCCAACUCCUUCCCUCCCGCGCCGGAGCCGCUCUUUUCGCCUCAAGGACAGCCUGUGCACGGUCAGCAGAGUGCGGAGGCGCUGGCUGCCGCUGCGCCCCGUGCCGCCCUCGGACGACUACGUCGCGGCGUGGUACUCUCAGUGCGGCCAGAGAAUGGGGUCUCAGCUCGCCGCGCCUGACCGGAGCUGGAGGCUCCCGGACCCCAGUACACUCCUGGGCCGAGAGGCUCUCGGCCCUGCUGUUCAGAACCCGGCUGACCCCAUUUUCGCCCCUUAGAGGAGUGGCUGGAGCUAGUGGACCUUUGCGCCCCAACGUAUGAGUGACCGACUCUGGCCUGGAUCUCCUGAUUGCACGCUGGGCUCAGGAGCUCUCGGGGUCGCCUUCCACUUGGAACCGGGACUUCAGCUGUGCCCCAGCUCCCGCGAGCCCCACGGAGAACGGGCACGGCAGCCUCGAUAGAACACAAAGACUGCAGCGCGUGGCGGGGCGCAGGGAACCUCAGGCAGCAAUUUCGGCUAGGCCUGGAAGAAAGUCCUGGAACGGGUGAAAUCUGCGUUAGAACGGGCUGGUUAGGGAAGAAGCGAGCAUUCCUUGCGCAGGAGUAUGCAAGCCUAGGCUGAACUUUCACUUGGAGGGGAUACAGGCAGGGUCUGCAAUUUAGAGGAAGGGGCCUGGGAGUUCCGGGUUUGCGUCGGGUUAGCCCGCGGCUGUUCUGCGUCCGCUUGGGUUGGCCCUCGAAAGCACCCUUCUCCCCCUUCUACUACUGCCAGCUGUAAAACACUCGGAUUCACUUCGCUCCCCAGCGAAGGGAGAGCGCCAAACAGGCCCGCAUUCCCUCCGGGGCCCCUCCCCUUCCCCGCUUCCUCUGCAGCACUUAAAAUGUAAAUGUACAUCGUGAUUAGC